This 354-nucleotide transfer-messenger RNA is filed under the name Anaerovoracaceae. RNAcentral's name for it is "RUG099 sp018064645 Standard tmRNA". It matches the Rfam family "transfer-messenger RNA". From Rfam's summary of the family: Bacterial tmRNA, also known as 10Sa RNA or SsrA, is named for its dual tRNA and mRNA-like properties. Its role is to liberate the mRNA from a stalled ribosome. To accomplish this part of the tmRNA is used as a reading frame that ends in a translation stop signal. RNAcentral also lists the same sequence under 1 other name. The record is from RNAcentral. Lineage: Bacteria; Bacillati; Bacillota; Clostridia; Peptostreptococcales.
GGGGUUGUAAUGGUUUCGACAGGGAUGUGGAACAAGGAUAAGCGAGCGGUGGUGGUGAUCCACCUAAAAAGUACCCGUUAAAAAGAAACGCUAAAUCAAACAACAAUUUCGCACUCGCAGCAUAGUUCUGCACCGCGUGUCAGCCCGGGUUUCCCUGUAGGCUCGGAAUCUGGCAUCAUUUAUACAGGACAACCUUGCGCGAGCUCCUGGUAGCGUAAGGGAACAACAGGAUAGCCUGGCGACAGUCUGCUGACGUGACGGUCGCUCAGGCGAAAUUCAAAGCAUCAGCUGCGCUCGGAGAAAGUCCUUCGGAAAUGUUCUUGGACGUGGGUUCGACUCCCACCAUCUCCACCA